AACGUAGGAGACAAACGUUAUCCGGAGUUACUGGGCGUAAAGGGCGUGUAGGUGGUAGAGUAAGUCUGGCGUGAAAUUCUUCGGCUUAACCGGGAAAGGUCGUCGGAUACUGCUUAACUAGAGGACGGUAGAGGCGUGUGGAAUUCCGGGUGUAGUGGUGAAAUGCGUAGAGAUCCGGAGGAACACCAGUGGCGAAGGCGACACGCUGGGCCGUACCUGACACUGAUGCGCGACAGCAUGGGGAGCAAACAGG
Molecule: ribosomal RNA, 253 nt
Filed under: uncultured bacterium
Lineage: Bacteria
Description: partial 16S ribosomal RNA
Rfam family: Bacterial small subunit ribosomal RNA
Source: RNAcentral